This is a long non-coding RNA of Pollicipes pollicipes, 729 nucleotides long. RefSeq lists it as uncharacterized. The transcript is spliced from 2 exons. Lineage: Eukaryota; Metazoa; Arthropoda; Thecostraca; Pollicipedomorpha; Pollicipedidae. The record is from RefSeq and is a predicted model, not a curated record.
UCAGGUUCUGUCGUGGAGUGCGUGUCUGUGGCGCUAAAUUUGCAUUUUGCGGAUUUCGGUGGAAAAUCGAACUAAAAAUGCUGUCUUUUAAGAGGUUUGGAGUGGUUGUUCUGUUAGUGCUCUUGGUGCUUUCGUACGAGGCAUGUGCGCAGACGACGGCGGCAGAUGCUGGAGGCGCAGGAGGUUCAACCGCAGCUGGUGAUGCGGGUGGAGCAGGGGCUGGAGGUGAUGCUGGGGGUGAUGCGGGUGGUGCUGCAGCAACAACACCGGAGGCGGCGGCUGGCGGUGAUGCUACCCAGGCUCCAUCGGCCGCGGAGGGAGAGGCGUCUGGCACCACUGAAGGCAGCGCUGCUGGCGAGCUGCAAGCUAUGGUCAAGUUCGUGGCGAUGAUGGCCGCUUUGUCCGUCGGACUAAUGGUGAAGGACUAGCAGACUUAGAAUGCUUCGAGAGAGCACCACGACGCUGCAGAUUGCAGAAUGCGGGAAUCCAGAAAUCUGAAAGUGGCAGGAUUUGGAGGCACUCAAUUUGGGUAGCGGCACGAGUGAUUUCACCGAGGUGAUCGAACGGCGAGGGGCAGAAAGACGCCGACCUGAGGUCUUGGUUGGUGAUGGCGACGUGAAUUAUGUGGAAAGAUGAGCACUGGCGUGGAGGUCUGCAGAGAUUGCAGAGUUACGUGAUAACACUUCGAUUUGUUUAGUGGGUGAGAGCAAUAAAGCACUGUGAUUACGA